UGGGGAAUUUUGGACAAUGGGGGAAACCCUGAUCCAGCCAUCCCGCGUGUGCGAUGAAGGCCUUCGGGUUGUAAAGCACUUUUGGCAGGAAAGAAACGUCGCGGGUUAAUACCCCGCGAAACUGACGGUACCUGCAGAAUAAGCACCGGCUAACUACGUGCCAGCAGCCGCGGUAAUACGUAGGGUGCAAGCGUUAAUCGGAAUUACUGGGCGUAAAGCGUGCGCAGGCGGUUCGGAAAGAAAGAUGUGAAAUCCCAGAGCUUAACUUUGGAACUGCAUUUUUAACUACCGGGCUAGAGUGUGUCAGAGGGAGGUGGAAUUCCGCGUGUAGCAGUGAAAUGCGUAGAUAUGCGGAGGAACACCGAUGGCGAAGGCAGCCUCCUGGGAUAACACUGACGCUCAUGCACGAAAGCGUGGGGAGCAAACAGGAUUAGAUACCCUGGUAGUCCACGCCCUAAAUCGAUGUCAACUAGCUGUUGGGGGCCUUUCGGGCCUUGGUAGCGCAGCUAACGCGUGAAGUUGACCGCCUGGGGAGUACGGUCGCAAGAUUAAAAGCUCAAAUGAAUUGACGGGGGUCGA
Molecule: ribosomal RNA, 579 nt
Filed under: uncultured bacterium
Lineage: Bacteria
Description: partial 16S ribosomal RNA
Rfam family: Bacterial small subunit ribosomal RNA
Source: RNAcentral